This 1071-nucleotide long non-coding RNA is filed under the name Macaca fascicularis (crab-eating macaque). Its description in RNAcentral is "lncRNA (ENSMFAG00000050974.1)". The record is from RNAcentral. Lineage: Eukaryota; Metazoa; Chordata; Mammalia; Primates; Cercopithecidae.
GCCGAGUCCAAACGCUCUCAAGUGUUUUGGGGUUGGAGUCAAAAGGAGUUAAGGUGUGGCACGUGAACCACGCAACGUAGGUGGAAAUUUUGGACUCAGUGUCUUGUCGCUGACUGGUGUCUGAGCGGGUGAAUCGCGCCUCCCCGGCAGUAUAGACAUUACCCUCCUUCUUGAGUAGACUUUUACGGCUCCCCGACUAUGGACGGAGUCGUUGAGAUAAGAAUUGAGGAAAGUCAAAGAUCAGAGUUUGCUUAAAAUGCAGUAGAGGAACCAGGACUCCUAGACAGAUUCCCAGUCACCUAGAGGCUCACAUCUGUGCCCGAGAGUCCAGACUCCCAACUGGAUCAUCACAGAGGCUUCCUACAGGAGGCCGUGCUUGAUGGAACUCAAAGAUCCACAAUUUUAGGGAUCAGAGUUGUGUGGAGAGGGUAUUCAACGGGUGGCCGACUGGCUGGAUCUUGUCUGAUACCAACCCCGAGGCUGCUCUGGGCUUCCUUUUCAUGAGCCAAACUUGUUCUCUGACUAGUUGCUGGUCAAUCACUCAAUCUCUCCAGGCCUCAGUUUCCUCAUUUGUAAAAUGAGAUUGGACCAGAUAGUCUCUUCCAGCACUUCUUUUCUGAAGCUAACAACAGAACAAAGGUGCUGAUGCAAGAGAACAUGGGGCCUGUUGGUGACACUGGUUGAUCUAAGACAUUUAGACGUGUUUUUUGGUAGCACCUGCAAACCACUGACAGUUUAGGACCAGACCAUGAACAUGAUCAAGGCUGUGUUUUAGCAAAAAUAAUAGGGAGACAGUCUAGAGAGGAUAAGACUAAAGAUGGGAGAAUCACUUGGGAGGCUGGGACAACCACAUACGGAGGGGUUGCCCGGGGAACUGAAAAGGGGUAAAUUCAAGGGACACCACAGAGGAGAGAUAUGGCACAAAGUGGCCACAACCUGCAACUGACUGGGAGAGGGGAGCAAUGGAAGAGCGCUGAUUGGUGCAUUUUACAAUCCUCUUGUAAGACAGAAAAGUUCUCCAAGUCCCCACUCGACCCAGGAAGUCCAGCUGGCUUCACCUGGAGUCUCUGA